RNAcentral lists this ribosomal RNA (280 nucleotides) under uncultured bacterium. Its description in RNAcentral is "partial 16S ribosomal RNA". It matches the Rfam family "Bacterial small subunit ribosomal RNA", at positions 74 to 354 of the family's 1533-position model. The record is from RNAcentral.
CCUGCCGUUGCCGGCGACCGGCGCACGGGUGAGUAACACGUAUGCAACCUGCCCGUGGCAGGGGGAUAAGCGGGGGAAACCCCGUCUAAUACCGCGUAACGCGGCCUUGGGGCAUCCCAAGGCCGCCAAAGGGAGCAAUCCCGGCCACGGAUGGGCAUGCGGCGCAUUAGCUAGUCGGCGGGGUAACGGCCCACCGAGGCGACGAUGCGUAGGGGUUCUGGGAGGAAGGCCCCCCACACUGGUACUGAGACACGGACCAGACUCCUACGGAAGGCAGCAG